This 468-nucleotide ribosomal RNA is filed under the name uncultured bacterium. RNAcentral's name for it is "partial 16S ribosomal RNA". It matches the Rfam family "Bacterial small subunit ribosomal RNA", at positions 28 to 507 of the family's 1533-position model. The record is from RNAcentral.
GACGAACGCUGGCGGCGUGCUUAACACAUGCAAGUCGAACGGUAAGGCCCUGCUUUUGUGGGGUGCUCGAGUGGCGAACGGGUGAGUAACACGUGAGUAACCUGCCCUUGACUUUGGGAUAACUUCAGGAAACUGGGGCUAAUACCGGAUAGGAGCUCCUGCUGCAUGGUGGGGGUUGGAAAGUUUCGGCGGUUGGGGAUGGACUCGCGGCUUAUCAGCUUGUUGGCGGGGUAGUGGCUUACCAAGGCUUUGACGGGUAGCCGGCCUGAGAGGGUGACCGGCCACAUUGGGACUGAGAUACGGCCCAGACUCCUACGGGAGGCAGCAGUGGGGAAUAUUGCACAAUGGGCGGAAGCCUGAUGCAGCAACGCCGCGUGCGGGAUGACGGCCUUCGGGUUGUAAACCGCUUUCGCCUGUGACGAAGCGUGAGUGACGGUAAUGGGUAAAGAAGCACCGGCUAACUACGUG